This 505-nucleotide ribosomal RNA is filed under the name uncultured archaeon. Its description in RNAcentral is "bacterial SSU rRNA". It matches the Rfam family "Archaeal small subunit ribosomal RNA", at positions 230 to 737 of the family's 1478-position model. The record is from RNAcentral.
CUGUUGGUGAGGUAAUGGCCCACCAAACCUAAAACCGGUACGGGCUCUGAGAGGAGAAGCCCAGAGAUGGGCACUGAGACAAGGGCCCAGGCCCUAUGGGGCGCAGCAGGCGUGAAAACUCUGCAAUAGGCGAAAGCUUGACAGGGUUAUUCUGAGUGAUCUCCGUUAAGGAAAUCUUUUGGCACCUCUAAAAAUGGUGCAGAAUAAGGGGUGGGCAAGCCUGGUGUCAGCCGCCGCGGUAAUACCAGCACCCCGAGUGGUCGGGACGAUUAUUGGGCCUAAAGCAUCCGUAGCCGGUUCUACAAGUCUUCCGUUAAAUCCACCUGCUUAACAGAUGGGCUGCAGAGGAUACUAUAGAGCUAGGAGGCGGGAGAGGCAAGCGGUACUCAGUGGGUAGGGGUAAAAUCCGUUGAUCCACUGAAGACCACCAGUGGCGAAGGCGGCUUGCCAGAACGCGCUCGACGGUGAGGGAUGAAAGCUGGGGGAGCAAACCGGAUUAGAUACC